This 253-nucleotide ribosomal RNA is filed under the name uncultured bacterium. RNAcentral's name for it is "partial 16S ribosomal RNA". It matches the Rfam family "Bacterial small subunit ribosomal RNA", at positions 524 to 776 of the family's 1533-position model. The record is from RNAcentral.
UACGAAGGGGGCUGGCGUUGCUCGGAAUCAUUGGGCGUAAAGGGCGCGUAGGCGGCCUGAUCAGUCGGGGGUGAAAGCCUGUGGCUCAACCACAGAAUGGCCUUCGAUACUGUCGGGCUUGAGACCGGAAGAGGUAAGUGGAACUGCGAGUGUAGAGGUGAAAUUCGUAGAUAUUCGCAAGAACACCAGUGGCGAAGGCGGCUUACUGGUCCGGAUCUGACGCUGAGGCGCGAAAGCCAGGGGAGCAAACGGG